CCUACGGGUGGCAGCAGUGAGGAAUAUUGGUCAAUGGGAGGAAUCCUGAACCAGCCAUGCCGCGUGCAGGACGACGGCUCUACGAGUUGUAAACUCCUUUUGUCAAGGGACAAAAUCAGGCUCGAGAGCCUGACCGAGGGUACUUGAAGAAAAAGCAUCGGCUAACUCCGUGCCAGCAGCCGCGGUAAUACGGAGGAUGCGAGCGUUAUCCGGAUUUAUUGGGUUUAAAGGGUGCGUAGGCGGGCUGUUAAGUCAGCGGUAAAAGCCCGGGGCUCAACCCCGGCGAGCCGUUGAAACUGGCUGUCUUGAGAUGUCGAGAGGUAUGCGGAAUGCGCAGUGUAGCGGUGAAAUGCUUAGAUAUUGCGCAGAACUCCGAUUGCGAAGGCAGCAUACCGGCGGCGAUCUGACGCUGAGGCACGAAAGCGUGGGUAUCGAACAGGAUUAGAUACCCUAGUAGUC
RNAcentral lists this ribosomal RNA (459 nucleotides) under uncultured bacterium. RNAcentral describes it as "partial 16S ribosomal RNA". It matches the Rfam family "Bacterial small subunit ribosomal RNA", at positions 338 to 795 of the family's 1533-position model. The record is from RNAcentral.